RNAcentral lists this transfer RNA (75 nucleotides) under Podarcis lilfordi (Lilford's wall lizard). RNAcentral describes it as "tRNA.Lys". The stretch from base 11 to 67 matches the Rfam family "tRNA", at positions 9 to 63 of the family's 71-position model. From Rfam's summary of the family: Transfer RNA (tRNA) molecules are approximately 80 nucleotides in length. Their secondary structure includes four short double-helical elements and three loops (D, anti-codon, and T loops). Further hydrogen bonds mediate the characteristic L-shaped molecular structure. tRNAs have two regions of fundamental functional importance: the anti-codon, which is responsible for specific mRNA codon recognition, and the 3' end, to which the tRNAs corresponding amino acid is attached (by aminoacyl-tRNA synthetases). tRNAs cope with the degeneracy of the genetic code in two manners: having more than one tRNA (with a specific anti-codon) for a particular amino acid; and 'wobble' base-pairing, i.e. permitting non-standard base-pairing at the 3rd anti-codon position. The record is from RNAcentral. Lineage: Eukaryota; Metazoa; Chordata; Lepidosauria; Squamata; Lacertidae.
GUCUGUUUACAGCUCAGCCGGUAGAGCAUAAGACUCUUAAUCUCAGAGUUAUGGGUUCAAGCCCUAUGUUGGGUU